Molecule: ribosomal RNA, 233 nt
Filed under: uncultured bacterium
Lineage: Bacteria
Description: partial 16S ribosomal RNA
Rfam family: Bacterial small subunit ribosomal RNA
Source: RNAcentral
CGGGUGAGUAACGCGUGAGGAACCUGCCUCAAAGAGGGGGACAACAGUUGGAAACGACUGCUAAUACCGCAUAAGCCCACAGGUCGGCAUCGACCAGAGGGAAAAGGAGCAAUCCGCUUUGAGAUGGCCUCGCGUCCGAUUAGCUAGUUGGUGAGGUAAUGGCCCACCAAGGCAACGAUCGGUAGCCGGACUGAGAGGUUGAACGGCCACAUUGGGACUGAGACACGGCCCAG